UACGAAGGGGGCUAGCGUUGCUCGGAAUCACUGGGCGUAAAGGGUGCGUAGGCGGGUCUUUUAAGUCAGGGGUGAAAUCCUGGAGCUCAACUCCAGAACUGCCUUUGAUACUGAAGAUCUUGAGUUCGGGAGAGGUGAGUGGAACUGCGAGUGUAGAGGUGAAAUUCGUAGAUAUUCGCAAGAACACCAGUGGCGAAGGCGGCUCACUGGCCCAAUACUGACGCUGAGGCACGAAAGCGUGGGGAGCAAACAGG
Molecule: ribosomal RNA, 254 nt
Filed under: uncultured bacterium
Lineage: Bacteria
Description: partial 16S ribosomal RNA
Rfam family: Bacterial small subunit ribosomal RNA
Source: RNAcentral